GAUGAACGCUAGCUACAGGCUUAACACAUGCAAGUCGAGGGGCAGCAUGACGAUAGCUUGCUAUUGUCGAUGGCGACCGGCGCACGGGUGAGUAACGCGUAUCCAACCUUCCCAUGUCCACGGGAUAGCCCGUCGAAAGGCGGAUUAAUACCGUAUGAGGUCACAUGCGGGCAUCUAAGUGUGACGAAAGGUUUUGCGGACAUGGAUGGGGAUGCGUCCGAUUAGCUGGUUGGCGGGGUAACGGCCCACCAAGGCGACGAUCGGUAGGGGUUCUGAGAGGAAGGUCCCCCACAUUGGAACUGAGACACGGUCCAAACUCCUACGGGAGGCAGCAGUGAGGAAUAUUGGUCAAUGGGCGAGAGCCUGAACCAGCCAAGUAGCGUGCAGGAUGACGGCCCUAUGGGUUGUAAACUGCUUUUAUAAGGGAAUAAAGUGGGUCACGUGUGACUUUUUGCAUGUACCUUAUGAAUAAGGACCGGCUAAUUCCGUG
This 490-nucleotide ribosomal RNA is filed under the name uncultured bacterium. RNAcentral's name for it is "bacterial SSU rRNA". It matches the Rfam family "Bacterial small subunit ribosomal RNA", at positions 28 to 507 of the family's 1533-position model. The record is from RNAcentral.